Molecule: long non-coding RNA, 651 nt
Filed under: Mytilus galloprovincialis (Mediterranean mussel)
Lineage: Eukaryota; Metazoa; Mollusca; Bivalvia; Mytilida; Mytilidae
Source: RNAcentral
AUUGUCAUAAAAUAAAAUAUGAGAAUUUGAUAAGAAUUGGUGAACAUGAAUUUUACAGCUAGUGCCCCUUUAAAUGUUCCAACAGUGGGAGUUAACAUCAUUUUAGUUUUAAAACAAAUUUACAAUUGCGAGCAACUAUCAACAUGAUCAAGGAGAUAUUUCAUCCAUAAGUACUUGUGGACAGAACAAUUUUGAGGCCCCUCAUGGGGGGGUCCUAGUAAUCACAUAAUCACCAUUUUUUUGCCAAUAUAAUCACAUAAUCAUUAAAUAUUUGCUUAUCUUUAGUAAUCAAAUAAUCAUAAACUAAAAAUACAGUCCUAGGUAAUCAAAUAAUCAUGAAAUAUUUGGCUUAAUAAUCAAAUAAUCAUUAAAAAUACGGCCAAGUAAUCACAUAAUCAAAAACCCCAUGAGGGCCCUCAAUUUUGUUUAGCCCUCCCCUUUUAUUCCAAAAUCUGUUAUUUGUAUUCUUUUAAUUUCAAUUAUUUUCGCGUUUAUUUGUAUUAUAUGAACAUACAUAUUAUUACUAGUAUACACGGCCAUAAGUUUCCGUCAAAUGAAUAUGAUAGGACCAUACAAGCGAAAUUUUGCGAAAUAAUAAGACAUAUACAUACCCCAACUUGACCCCUGCGUCAAGCAUAUUUCUCCGCACCA